Mya arenaria is the source of this 316-nucleotide long non-coding RNA. RefSeq lists it as uncharacterized. The transcript is spliced from 3 exons. NCBI's taxonomy places the organism in Eukaryota, Metazoa, Mollusca, Bivalvia, Myida, Myidae. The record is from RefSeq and is a predicted model, not a curated record.
GACUAAUGUUACGAUUUUCGGUACAAGCUAUACUGAGCUGAUUAUUAUAAGGGAAAGUGUUGUCUGUCGUAUUCACUUGGAUACGGUUGAACCAUGUAAACAAUACUCUUUGUGUGUAAAAUUUGGGAUAUUUUCUGUGUUUGAAGAGUUCUCGCUGUGCGCUGGUCGGCCAUCUUGAAAAAUAAAUUGUGAAGGUCGUAUUUCCAGCUUUCCUGCGAGACGGCAGUUCAGAUGCAGUCGUCCUGUGUGUCAGAAAGCUGGUGAUCAAAAUGGUUGAAGGCAGUACCCAAGAAAGUACAUUUACAAGUAAGUAAAA